ACGAACGCUGGCGGCGUGCCUCAUACAUGCAAGUAGCACGCUGAAGGAGGAGCUUGCUUCUCUGGAUGAGUUGCGAACGGGUGAGUAACGCGUAGGUAACCUGCCUGGUAGCGGGGGAUAACUAUUGGAAACGAUAGCUAAUACCGCAUAACAGUAGAUAUCGCAUGAUAUCUACUUGAAAGGUGCAAUUGCAUCACUACCAGAUGGACCUGCGUUGUAUUAGCUAGUUGGUGAGGUAACGGCUCACCAAGGCGACGAUACAUAGCCGACCUGAGAGGGUGAUCGGCCACACUGGGACUGAGACACGGCCCAGACUCCUACGGGAGGCAGCAGUAGGGAAUCUUCGGCAAUGGACGGAAGUCUGACCGAGCAACGCCGCGUGAGUGAAGAAGGUUGUCGGAUCGUAAAGCUCUGUUGUAAGAGGAGAACGAGUGUGAGAGUGGAAAGUUCACACUGUGACGGUAUCUUACCAGAAAGGGACGGCUAACUACGUG
RNAcentral lists this ribosomal RNA (494 nucleotides) under uncultured bacterium. RNAcentral's name for it is "partial 16S ribosomal RNA". It matches the Rfam family "Bacterial small subunit ribosomal RNA", at positions 29 to 507 of the family's 1533-position model. The record is from RNAcentral.